GCACAAGCAGCGGAGCGUGUGGUUUUAAUUCGUUGCUACACGAAGAACCUUACCUGGGUUUGACAUAUAAGUUGUAGGGAACUGAAAAGGGACCGACCUUCGGGGAGCUUAUACAGGUGUUGCAUGGCUGUCGUCAGCUCGUGUCGUGAGAUGUUCGGUUAAGUCCGCUAACGAGCGCAACCCUCGCCGUAUGUUACAAGUGUCAUACGGGACUGCCGGUAAAAGCCGGAGGAAGGUGAGGAUGAUGUCAAGUCAGCAUGACCUUUAUAUCCAGGGCUACACACACGCUACAAUGGUCUGUACAAUUGGUUGCCAAGCCGCGAGGCGGAGCCAAUCCGUAAAGCAGGCCUCAGUUCAGAUUGCAGUCUGCAACUCGACUGCAUGAAGCCGGAGUUGCUAGUAACCGCAGGUCAGCAAUACUGCGGUGAAUACGUUCCCGGGUCUU
RNAcentral lists this ribosomal RNA (445 nucleotides) under uncultured Anaerolineaceae bacterium. Its description in RNAcentral is "bacterial SSU rRNA". It matches the Rfam family "Bacterial small subunit ribosomal RNA", at positions 923 to 1382 of the family's 1533-position model. The record is from RNAcentral. Lineage: Bacteria; Bacillati; Chloroflexota; Anaerolineae; Anaerolineales; Anaerolineaceae.